This 225-nucleotide unclassified non-coding RNA is filed under the name plant metagenome. RNAcentral's name for it is "partial contains small subunit ribosomal RNA, internal transcribed spacer 1, and 5.8S ribosomal RNA". The stretch from base 156 to 225 matches the Rfam family "5.8S ribosomal RNA", at positions 1 to 55 of the family's 154-position model. The record is from RNAcentral.
GUAGGUGAACCUGCGGAAGGAUCAUUACAAAAUUUUGAGUGCUUUGAGUGAUCAUGUACUUUUACCUAUGCAAAUAGGUUGAAAGUAGAUGAUUACCGACACCACUUUUACGCUUGUUGUGUUUGACAGAGUUAUGUAUGAGAGUAAAUAUAGACAACUUUUAACAAUGGAUCUCUUGGCUCUUGCAUCGAUGAAGAACGCAGCAUCUGACUGACUCGACAGCUG